This 301-nucleotide ribosomal RNA is filed under the name uncultured bacterium. Its description in RNAcentral is "partial 16S ribosomal RNA". It matches the Rfam family "Bacterial small subunit ribosomal RNA", at positions 509 to 807 of the family's 1533-position model. The record is from RNAcentral.
CAGCCGCCACGGUAAAACGGAGGGUGCAAGCGUUAUCCGGAUUUAUUGGGUUUAAAGGGUCCGUAGGCGGACUUAUAAGUCAGUGGUGAAAGCCUGUCGCUUAACGAUAGAACUGCCAUUGAUACUGUAAGUCUUGAGUAUAUUUGAGGUAGCUGGAAUAAGUAGUGUAGCGGUGAAAUGCAUAGAUAUUACUUAGAACACCAAUUGCGAAGGCAGGUUACCAAGAUAUAACUGACGCUGAGGUACGAAAGCAUGGGGAGCAAACAGGAUUAGAUACCCCAGUAGUCCCUGUCUCUUAUAC